UUAGCAACCUCUAUACUGUAACAUAUGAUGGGGGGAAAGCAAAGCCAGGGAGUUUGAGGACAGCGGUGUCGCAGAGACACAAACCAUCUUGCCUCAGCACAGAUCCGCUACAGUGUAAUCAGCAGGUACGCUCCGUCAUAUCAAGUGUCAUAAUAUUUAGCUCUUCCACCCGACACAUAGCCGGGCAACAGAGCGGCGACUUGGUUGUGUUCUACUCCAGCUCCACGGCUUUUCCAACUUGGUGUUUACACUUGAAGCCGUCACCUCGUCCUGUGCAGCUCAUGAGCUUGUUGUUGUCGCUCGUCAGGCUGGUGAUGGACUCCUUCACAUGACGAUAUCAUUCUGUUUGAAGAAAGCUGUGGGAGCCCUGGCCAUCUGGGCCUGCAGGGCCCGUCCCCCAGAGGCCUCGCCCCAAAGGCACCCCUCUGCGCCGCACAGAGGAGAUGUGGCGUAGCCUGUGCAGCGCCGAGGAAGAGGAGGCAGGCUGCGCUGCCGGAGAAACGCCAGCAUAUUGGGAGUUCGGACACGUGCUCCCCCCAAGGCACGGAUCAGCACGUGUUUCUAAGUUGCGAUGCUUCCCUCUUCUUCCCAAAUCUUCUCAUCUCGCCCAAAAGACACAGAUGGCCCAGUCAAGACGGUUUACGUGAGCAGUAGUGUGAUUUCGCAUCAAAGUCAAUUAGAGCUUACGUUCCUCGACAGUUGGUGAAAGUUCUGCCGAUGGUCGUGAGUCACAAUCGGCGGUGAAUACAACAACUGAUGAACAAUAAACAAACUGCAUUAAAGAACAGCGAAUGAAAGGAAAAGGGGAAAAAAACAAACCCUGAUUCCAUCCUCUCCAUAUAAAUAUUCAUUCAAAUUACUGAAUUUAUACGUGUUAUAUACGUGUUAUUGUCAUUUGUUAUAACUGUUUUAAUUGUUAUACAAUUGUCUGCAGAUUUUAUUUAAAAUACCUGAUUUGCUCAGUCAUUUUAAAAAAAGGCACAACCACAGAGUCGAGCCAGUGACUGUUGUGCCCACGUCCUCGGACAAUCCGGGCUACUCUAGCUCUGGGAAACCACAGUUCAUGUUGAUAACUAUUGAUUGGACGGCCCAGAGCCACCAAAACAUUACAGUAUUCCCCUGUAAGAUAUUGUUUGACAUUGCUCUUGCAACAAGGACUGGACUGGCGUCAUGUGACAGCCAAAUCAGACUGUUUCAUAUUUAUUAGGUCACAGUUAUAUAUAGUGUUAAAUGUAGAUCUGGCUUCUUUUUUUUCUAACAUGACAGCAUCUGUGAGGCACGAACGCAGUGGAAACUCCAAUCAGGCAGCUAAUGAGAUACAGUGUUAUACUGGCUUGUAAUGAAACCACAGAAUUCCUGUCAACGUAAACCUAUAGCUCAUCUUUUAUUCACGCAGAAUUAUUUCAACAGAGCGUUUUUUUCGUCCCAGACGGCUUCACCUGCCAGGGGUCACUGCUAGCUCGGAGGGUCCGCAGCAUCGCCGGUUGUUGCAGUGAUGCAACGCGGAGGAGUGAACAUCUCCACAACUCUCCUUGGCCGCCACCAAUGUCAUCACAAGAGUUUUAUCCGCGUGUGUGUACUGAAUAAAGUUGAUGCGAGCAGA
Long non-coding RNA from Betta splendens (Siamese fighting fish), 1603 nucleotides. RefSeq lists it as uncharacterized. The transcript is spliced from 2 exons. NCBI's taxonomy places the organism in Eukaryota, Metazoa, Chordata, Actinopteri, Anabantiformes, Osphronemidae. The record is from RefSeq and is a predicted model, not a curated record.